UUGAUCCUGGCUCAGAAUCAACGCUGGCGGCGUGCCUAACACAUGCAAGUCGAACGCAGUUUUUCCCGCAAGGGAAAAGCUGAGUGGCAAACGGGUGAGUAACACGUGGGUGACCUGCCUUCGAGUGGGGGAUAACGUUUCGAAAGGGAUGCUAAUACCGCAUAACAUCCUGUCUUUUAAGAGAUGGACAUCAAAGCCUUGGACCGUAAGGCCAGGCGCUUGAAGAGGGGCCCGCGCCUGAUUAGCUAGUUGGUGGGGUAAUGGCUCACCAAGGCAACGAUCAGUAUCCGGCCUGAGAGUGCGGACGGACACACUGGGACUGAGGCACGGCCCAGACUCCUACGGGAGGUAGCAGUGGGGAAUUGUUCGCAAUGGGCGCAAGCCUGACGACGCAACGCCUCGUGGAGGAUGAAGAUCUUCGGGUCGUAAACUCCUUUCGAUCGAGACGAUUGGCCUUUGGGUUAAUAGCCUGAAGGAAUGACGGUACCGAGAGAAGAAGUCCCGGCUAACUCCGUGCCAGCAGCCGCGGUAAUAAGGU
Molecule: ribosomal RNA, 538 nt
Filed under: uncultured Acidobacteriota bacterium
Lineage: Bacteria; Pseudomonadati; Acidobacteriota
Description: bacterial SSU rRNA
Rfam family: Bacterial small subunit ribosomal RNA
Source: RNAcentral